AGAGUUUGAUCAUGGCUCAGAACGAACGCUGGCGGCAGGCUUAACACAUGCAAGUCGAACGUGAAGCAUGCCUUCGGGCAUGUGGAAAGUGGCAGACGGGUGAGUAACACGUGGGAACCUACCCAGUAGUACGGAAUAACUCAGGGAAACUUGGGCUAAUACCGUAUACGCCCUCCGGGGGAAAGAUUUAUCGCUAUUGGAUGGGCCCGCGUUGGAUUAGCUAGUUGGUGAGGUAACGGCUCACCAAGGCGACGAUCCAUAGCUGGUCUGAGAGGAUGAUCAGCCACACUGGGACUGAGACACGGCCCAGACUCCUACGGGAGGCAGCAGUGGGGAAUAUUGGACAAUGGGCGCAAGCCUGAUCCAGCCAUGCCGCGUGAGUGAAGAAGGCCCUAGGGUUGUAAAGCUCUUUCACCGGUGAAGAUAAUGACGGUAACCGGAGAAGAAGCCCCGGCUAACUUCGUGCCAGCAGCCGCGGUAAUACGAAGGGGGCUAGCGUUGUUCGGAAUUACUGGGCGUAAAGCGCGCGUAGGCGGAUACUUAAGUCAGGGGUGAAAUCCCGAGGCUCAACCUCGGAACUGCCUUUGAUACUGGGUGUCUUGAGUUCGAGAGAGGUAAGUGGAAUUCCGAGUGUAGAGGU
RNAcentral lists this ribosomal RNA (640 nucleotides) under uncultured Alphaproteobacteria bacterium. RNAcentral describes it as "bacterial SSU rRNA". It matches the Rfam family "Bacterial small subunit ribosomal RNA", at positions 8 to 682 of the family's 1533-position model. The record is from RNAcentral. Lineage: Bacteria; Pseudomonadati; Pseudomonadota; Alphaproteobacteria.